UGCCCGAGCGUCAAAGCAGAAAAGGAGCGGUCCGCCCGCGAAUUAGAAACUAGCCCCCGAUCCCUUUUGGUUCACUUUCUUAUAAAUAAUGUUAGUCCACAAAAAAAAACCUUUAAGGCACAAGUGUCCGAAGGGCGGCAGAACUACAAAAGAACAAAAAAAUGUAUAAAAAACGAACUCCUACGACACAAGAACUGAAAAAAAAAACACAAACCAAGGGCUCUAAUUGAGUAUUAAAUUUUAUUGAUGAUCAUUACACUAGAGCGCCGACGAGGAGUCAGUCAAGAGACCAAAAAGUGUUAACAAGUCGAGGAAUUACGCAGAAAUCGCCGGAGAUGCGAACGAAACCAGUUUCCAAGGAGUGAUCCUGCUGUGAGAAACUACAAAGCAGAAAUCAAGUAAAAUUUGCCGCCGCAGAAUUCUGCAGGAGAGCCGGACCAAAAAUCAAAUAAGAAAGACAUUGAGGGAAAAAAGCAAAAGUAAAC
Molecule: non-coding RNA, 485 nt
Organism: Drosophila melanogaster (fruit fly)
Lineage: Eukaryota; Metazoa; Arthropoda; Insecta; Diptera; Drosophilidae
Source: Ensembl